AGGAACAACCAUUCCUUCUCAUUCCUGCAAUUUUAUUCAUUUACGUUCCUUUUCUAUUUGUUCCUCUUGUUUCCAGAAUGGUCACCAGUUGAACCUUGUAGUGUCUAUCUCAACCCCUACAAUCUAGAUACUAAACUUUAUCUCAACCCCACUCCAAACCCUGAAUAUUAAACCCUAACCCUAAUCAGUAAACCCUAGAUCCAAAUAUAAACCAUAAACCCAAAUAUAAACUCUAAACACAAAUAGAAUGGAACAAAAUAAAUAGCAUAGUACAUACUUGUAAAAUUAUCAAAUGUUUAUGAUUGCAUAAAAGAAGUUAAUGAUGAUUCCAACCAUAUCCCCUCGCCUUAUAA
Molecule: long non-coding RNA, 353 nt
Filed under: Brassica napus (rape)
Lineage: Eukaryota; Viridiplantae; Streptophyta; Magnoliopsida; Brassicales; Brassicaceae
Description: long non-coding RNA (BNAP_LNC020045)
Source: RNAcentral